RNAcentral lists this ribosomal RNA (325 nucleotides) under uncultured bacterium. Its description in RNAcentral is "bacterial SSU rRNA". It matches the Rfam family "Bacterial small subunit ribosomal RNA", at positions 568 to 898 of the family's 1533-position model. The record is from RNAcentral.
UGCGUAGGUGGAAUGAAAAGUCUUGGUUUAAAGGCUAUGGCUUACCCAUAGUAUUGGUCAAGAUACUCUCAUUCUUGAGGAUUGAUAGGGGUGCCGGAACAGCCGGUGUAGCAGUGAAAUGCGUUGAUAUCGGCUGGAACACCGAUGGCGAAAGCAGGCACCUGGGUUUAUCCUGACGCUGAGGCACGAAAGCUAAGGGAGCGAAACAGAUUAGAGACCUGUGUAGUCUUAGCAGUAAACUAUGUCCGCUAGCUGUGCCUGCAAGGGCGCGGCGUAAGCUAACGCGUUAAGCGGACCGCCUGGGGAGUACGGCCGCAAGGCUAAA